RNAcentral lists this ribosomal RNA (206 nucleotides) under Pseudomonas putida. RNAcentral describes it as "partial 23S ribosomal RNA". It matches the Rfam family "Bacterial large subunit ribosomal RNA", at positions 159 to 412 of the family's 2925-position model. Lineage: Bacteria; Pseudomonadati; Pseudomonadota; Gammaproteobacteria; Pseudomonadales; Pseudomonadaceae. The record is from RNAcentral.
UGAAUACAUAGGUGCAAGAGGCGAACCAGGGGAACUGAAACAUCUAAGUACCCUGAGGAAAAGAAAUCAACCGAGAUUCCCUUAGUAGUGGCGAGCGAACGGGGGCUAGCCCUUAAGUGGCUUUGAGAUUAGCGGAACGCUCUGGAAAGUGCGGCCAUAGUGGGUGAUAGCCCUGUACGCGAAAAUCUCUUAGUCAUGAAAUCGAG